AGUAGAGUGGCUGAGGAAAAUAAGCGUUAGAUUGUAAAUCUAUAAACAAGUAGAACUUCUUUACUA
Molecule: transfer RNA, 66 nt
Filed under: Domecia hispida
Lineage: Eukaryota; Metazoa; Arthropoda; Malacostraca; Decapoda; Domeciidae
Description: tRNA-Tyr
Rfam family: tRNA
About the family: Transfer RNA (tRNA) molecules are approximately 80 nucleotides in length.
Source: RNAcentral